AUGAACGCUAGCUACAGGCUUAACACCUGCAAGUCGAGGGGAAACGGCAUCGAAAGCUUGCUUUUGAUGGGCGUCGACCGGCGCACGGGUGAGUAACGCGUAUCCAACCUGCCCAUCACUUGGGAAUAACCUUGCGAAAGUAAGACUAAUGCCCAAUGACAUCCCACGAAGGCAUCCGAAUGGGAUUAAAGAUUUAUCGGUGAUGGAUGGGGAUGCGUCUGAUUAGCUUGUUGGCGGGGUGACGGCCCACCAAGGCAACGAUCAGUAGGGGUUCUGAGAGGAAGGUCCCCCACAUUGGAACUGAGACACGGUCCAAACUCCUACGGGAGGCAGCAGUGAGGAAUAUUGGUCAAUGGGCGAGAGCCUGAACCAGCCAAGUAGCGUGCAGGAGGACGGCCCUAUGGGUUGUAAACUGCUUUUAUAAGGGAAUAAAGUGGGUCACGUGUGACUUUUUGCAUGUACCUUAUGAAUAAGGACCGGCUAAUUCCGUG
RNAcentral lists this ribosomal RNA (491 nucleotides) under uncultured bacterium. RNAcentral's name for it is "partial 16S ribosomal RNA". It matches the Rfam family "Bacterial small subunit ribosomal RNA", at positions 29 to 507 of the family's 1533-position model. The record is from RNAcentral.